Molecule: ribosomal RNA, 254 nt
Filed under: uncultured bacterium
Lineage: Bacteria
Description: partial 16S ribosomal RNA
Rfam family: Bacterial small subunit ribosomal RNA
Source: RNAcentral
UACAGAGGGUGCAAGCGUUAAUCGGAAUUACUGGGCGUAAAGCGUGCGCAGGCGGUCUGUUAGGACCGAUGUGAAAUCCCCGGGCUUAACCUGGGAACUGCAUUGGUGACUGGCAGGCUUUGAGUGUGGCAGAGGGAGGUAGAAUUCCACGUGUAGCAGUGAAAUGCGUAGAGAUGUGGAGGAAUACCGAUGGCGAAGGCAGCCUCCUGGGCCAACACUGACGCUCAUGCACGAAAGCGUGGGGAGCAAACAGG